GUUGUUUAUCCUGGUAGGACCCUUGGAUCGUCCAACUUUUGGAUUUCGAGUUUAUGUUUAUGCUAGGCCAUUUGUGUUUAUUCUAUGACAGUUUGUGUCUAUUGUAUGAUAGUUUGUGUUUAUCAUAUCAAUGGUCUCAUAAAAGUGAUUAUUACAACUUUCAAAGUUUAUGGAUAGUUUGUUGGGUUGUUCAUAUUUACUCUAAUGAGUUCGUCUUUA
RNAcentral lists this long non-coding RNA (219 nucleotides) under Elaeis guineensis (African oil palm). Its description in RNAcentral is "long non-coding RNA (EGUI_LNC020378)". Lineage: Eukaryota; Viridiplantae; Streptophyta; Magnoliopsida; Arecales; Arecaceae. The record is from RNAcentral.